This 71-nucleotide transfer RNA is filed under the name Loxodonta africana (African savanna elephant). It matches the Rfam family "tRNA". Rfam says of the family: Transfer RNA (tRNA) molecules are approximately 80 nucleotides in length. Lineage: Eukaryota; Metazoa; Chordata; Mammalia; Proboscidea; Elephantidae. The record is from Rfam by way of RNAcentral.
ACAUUGGUAGUUCAGUGGUAGAAUUCUUACUUCCCAUUUGGGAGACCCAGGUUUGAUUCCUGGUCAAUGCA